UUUUUUUUUUUUCUUUUGGAAAAUUUGAACAAUAUCCAGUCAGCCAUGUAGAAGUUGGGCAUUAGUGAAAAAAAAACAAGGACAUGUUUUGUCUUUCAAAAUCGAUGUAAGCCUUUCUUUUGCGUGACCAAUUAAAGAACAACUAAACUUCAAAAUGAGAAACUUUCCACUUGUCUUAGGCCUCAUCAAGGAUGAACCUUGAUGAUAAUGAGAUAAUGGAAUGAGAAUAAAGCAGAAACAGUUGAAAUUUGUCUCUCUUCAUUUUACUUGCACUAAGUUUCACAAAUGCCCACAGAUGCAUGACUUCUGAAAUUUAAAAAUACAUGGUAUUUGUGAAAUUUGAGUCUACUGAGGCGGAACAUACUCAGAGAAAUGAAAAAAACUUUCCAGAUAAGUCCAGAUUAAUAUCUGGAGGGUAAAUAACUUAGUUCCCUCCAAAUUUCCCUUAACAUAAACUUUUUUUGCCUUCUUACUUCUCAUCUAUGCAAUUUCUUCACCUAAUACUUGUUUUAACACUCUGAUUUACCCAAGUUCACCCUGGGCCCUUAAAAUUACAAAGCAGUUUAGAAACAACUGGUCCCCAUUGAGUAAAAAAGAAUGUAUACACACCAUGUUGCAUAGUAGGAGAAAAAAAAAAAAGUACUGGGGAAAUUAAAAAAAGAAAAAAGAAAAGAAACGACUGGUCCCCUUAACUAGCCAUGCUUUUUUUUGUUGUUGUUGUCUUUUUAGGGCCGCACCUGGGGCAUAUGGAAGUUCCCAGGCUAGUGGUCUAAUUGGAGCUGCAGCCACCAGCCUACACCAGAGCCACAGCAACGCGGGAUCCGAGCCGCGUCUACGACCUACACCACAGUUCACGGCAAUGCCAGAUCCUUAACCCACUGAGCAAGGCCGGCAACUGUAGCUCCAAUUUGACCCCAAACGUGGGAACAUCCAUAUGCCAUGGGUGCAGCCCUAAAAAACAAAAACAAAAACAAAAACAAAAAAUCUGUUCCUCAAUCCUCUGUUACCCUCCGAAUAGAGCCCAAACUCACAAAUGACUCUGCACCCAAAGGAGCUUCUUAUGAUUCCAGGAUUAACUCUUAAGGAAUGAACAGAGAGGAGGGAGAAGCAGGCAUGGGAGAGAGAGACAGAGAGAGAAGGAGGGAAGGAGGGGCCAGCUGACAAAAAACCCCACUCGUACCCAUCACCCCACUUCACAAUGCAGUCACGUUUUUCAGUUUCUCAUUUCAAGUCUCUGCUUACUUUUUUUUCUUUUUAG
RNAcentral lists this long non-coding RNA (1258 nucleotides) under Sus scrofa (pig). Its description in RNAcentral is "lncRNA (ENSSSCG00065002602.1)". The record is from RNAcentral. Lineage: Eukaryota; Metazoa; Chordata; Mammalia; Artiodactyla; Suidae.